GUCUACGGCCAUACCACCCUGAACGCGCCCGAUCUCGUCUGAUCUCGGAAGCUAAGCAGGGUCGGGCCUGGUUAGUACUUGGAUGGGAGGAUGUCUUUCAUUUGGUUAAAUGAGAUGUGAAAAUG
Molecule: ribosomal RNA, 125 nt
Organism: Colobus angolensis palliatus
Lineage: Eukaryota; Metazoa; Chordata; Mammalia; Primates; Cercopithecidae
Source: Ensembl